UACGUAGGGGGCAAGCGUUAUCCGGAAUUACUGGGCGUAAAGCGCACGCAGGCGGUUCGCCAAGUUUGGAGUGACAGUUGUCGGCUCAACCGACAAAGGACUUCAAAAACUGGUGAACUUGAGGACGAGAGAGGAACAUGGAACUCCAGGUGUAGUAGUGAAAUGCGUAGAUAUCUGGAAGAACACCAAUGGCGAAGGCAAUGUUCUGGCUCGUUUCUGACGCUCAGGUGCGAAAGCCAGGGGAGCGAACGAG
RNAcentral lists this ribosomal RNA (253 nucleotides) under uncultured bacterium. RNAcentral describes it as "partial 16S ribosomal RNA". It matches the Rfam family "Bacterial small subunit ribosomal RNA", at positions 524 to 776 of the family's 1533-position model. The record is from RNAcentral.